RNAcentral lists this ribosomal RNA (710 nucleotides) under uncultured bacterium. Its description in RNAcentral is "bacterial SSU rRNA". It matches the Rfam family "Bacterial small subunit ribosomal RNA", at positions 94 to 823 of the family's 1533-position model. The record is from RNAcentral.
AGCGGCGGACGGGUGAGUAACGCGUGGGUAACCUGCCCUGUACACACGGAUAACAUACCGAAAGGUAUGCUAAUACGAGAUAAUAUGCUUUUGUCGCAUGGUAGAAGUAUCAAAGCUUUUGCGGUACAGGAUGGACCCGCGUCUGAUUAGCUAGUUGGUAAGGUGACGGCUUACCAAGGCGACGAUCAGUAGCCGACCUGAGAGGGUGAUCGGCCACAUUGGAACUGAGACACGGUCCAAACUCCUACGGGAGGCAGCAGUGGGGAAUAUUGCACAAUGGGCGAAAGCCUGAUGCAGCAACGCCGCGUGAGCGAUGAAGGCCUUCGGGUCGUAAAGCUCUGUCCUCAAGGAAGAUAAUGACGGUACUUGAGGAGGAAGCCCCGGCUAACUACGUGCCAGUAGCCGCGGUAAUACGUAGGGGGCUAGCGUUAUCCGGAAUUACUGGGCGUAAAGGGUGCGUAGGUGGUUUCUUAAGUCAGAGGUGAAAGGCUACGGCUCAACCGUAGUAAGCCUUUGAAACUGGGAAACUUGAGUGCAGGAGAGGAGAGUGGAAUUCCUAGUGUAGCGGUGAAAUGCGUAGAUAUUAGGAGGAACACCAGUUGCGAAGGCGGCUCUCUGGACUGUAACUGACACUGAGGCACGAAAGCGUGGGGAGCAAACAGGAUUAGAUACCCUGGUAGUCCACGCCGUAAACGAUGAGUACUAGCUGU